RNAcentral lists this unclassified non-coding RNA (207 nucleotides) under soil metagenome. RNAcentral describes it as "partial contains 5.8S ribosomal RNA, internal transcribed spacer 2, and large subunit ribosomal RNA". The record is from RNAcentral.
AACUGAUACUACCUGCGGGAACCUGCGGAAGGAUCAUUAUAGAGUUUUUAACUCCCAAACCCAUGUGAACUUACCUUUGUUGCCUCGGCGGAGCCUACCCGGUACCUACCCUGUAGCGCCCCGCCGGUGGACUUCUAAACUAUUGUUAUUUUAAUGAUAUCUGAGAGUCUUAUUUUAAUAAGUCAAAACUUUCAGCAAUGGAUCUCU